AAAGUCGUAACAAGGUAACCGUAGGUGAACCUGCGGUUGGAUCAUUACAAAGUUUUUGGCCGGCAGCUCCUCCUCGUGGGGAGCCCGCUGGUCUUCAACCCCCUUGUGCAAACGUGAAUAUUUCUGGGUGUUCUUUGGGCCCUCUGAUGAGCUUUGGCAGUCAAAUGCCGGGGCAGGAGGGAUUCAACCACCCACCCUUAUAAACCCCUUGAUAAAUUGUCUGAUAUUAUGAAAAUAAUUAUAAACAACUUUUGACAACGGAUCUCUUGGCUCUC
This 275-nucleotide unclassified non-coding RNA is filed under the name Chytridiomycota sp. Its description in RNAcentral is "partial contains small subunit ribosomal RNA, internal transcribed spacer 1, and 5.8S ribosomal RNA". The stretch from base 1 to 47 matches the Rfam family "Eukaryotic small subunit ribosomal RNA", at positions 1785 to 1831 of the family's 1831-position model. The record is from RNAcentral. Lineage: Eukaryota; Fungi; Chytridiomycota.